This 76-nucleotide transfer RNA is filed under the name Marine Group III euryarchaeote CG-Bathy1. Its description in RNAcentral is "tRNA-Pro". The record is from RNAcentral. Lineage: Archaea; Methanobacteriati; Thermoplasmatota; Thermoplasmata; Candidatus Thermoprofundales.
GGGCCUGUGGGGUAGUUUGGCAUCCUUGUACUCUGGGGGAGUACAGACUCCAGUUCAAAUCUGGGCAGGCCCACCA